Molecule: ribosomal RNA, 301 nt
Filed under: uncultured bacterium
Lineage: Bacteria
Description: partial 16S ribosomal RNA
Rfam family: Bacterial small subunit ribosomal RNA
Source: RNAcentral
CAGUAGCCACGGUAAUACGAGGGGGGCAAGCGUUGUUCGGAAUUAUUGGGCGUAAAGGGUGCGUAGGCGGUUUGAUAAGUCAUCUGUGAAAUCUCUGGGCUCAACCCAUAGUCUGCACGGGAAACUGUCGGGCUUGAGAAUGGGAGAGGUGAGUGGAAUUUCCGGUGUAGCGGUGAAAUGCGUAGAUAUCGGAAGGAACACCUGUGGCGAAAGCGGCUCACUGGACCAUUUCUGACGCUGAUGCACGAAAGCUAGGGGAGCAAACAGGAUUAGAUACCCCCGUAGUCCCUGUCUCUUAUAC